This is a non-coding RNA of Podarcis lilfordi (Lilford's wall lizard), 70 nucleotides long. NCBI's taxonomy places the organism in Eukaryota, Metazoa, Chordata, Lepidosauria, Squamata, Lacertidae. The record is from the annotation of a GenBank genome assembly.
GGGCCAUAGCUUAGUGAUAGAGCAUCUACUCACAUACAGAAGCUCCCAGGUUCAAUCCAUGGCAUCUUCA